Papilio polytes (common Mormon) is the source of this 624-nucleotide long non-coding RNA. RefSeq lists it as uncharacterized. The transcript has 3 exons. Lineage: Eukaryota; Metazoa; Arthropoda; Insecta; Lepidoptera; Papilionidae. The record is from RefSeq and is a predicted model, not a curated record.
AUUCCGAUGACAACGGACGGAGGCUAGUUUUUAAAUAAAAAGUUUUAUCCAUCAGUUAAUUCGCCGGGAAGCGAGUAAGUGGAUGUAUAUCCACUUCCGAGAAGAGUAUUCUGUGUACUUGCAACGCAUCUACAAAUGCGGAUGUCUAUAGUGAUACUUCCUAUUUUGGCGAAUUCCGAUGGCUGCUCGCUCAUUUGUCAUUUGACGUAUUCAAUCGUCACUCAUCUCUUCAAUGUCGUCAUAUCCGUUAGAGAGAAUUAUGAAAAAAUCUACACAAACAUAUCUAUUAAAACUGUAGACGGCAAAGAUUAAGAAUUUACAAAGUAGAAGCGACAUCUAGUAUUGGAAAAAAGAAACAAGAAAUCAUUAACAAUACGAACCGGAUACUAUUACUACCGAGUCUUCAGUAUGUCGCGUGUCAUUCAGGGUUAAACGGAAGCUCAAUAAAGAAGAAAGACGUACAAAGGCAUUCAAAGGAAGCUGGCGUGUGCCAUUCAUAGAGUAUAAUUGAAAAAGAAAUUGCUUUAGAAAGACCCUGACCUGUGGAGGAUUGCAACAAUGACCUUUAUUUAUAUAAAAAAAGUCUACUUUUGUUUUUUUUUUGUAUUGUCAAGUAUUUUUUUA